This 112-nucleotide non-coding RNA is filed under the name Candidatus Microgenomates bacterium. Lineage: Bacteria; Candidatus Microgenomatota. The record is from RNAcentral.
UUAACAUUGUUGAGUAAAAGUUGAGGAACCUCGUGCGAAUCGAGGACUGUGCCGCAACUGUGAUCCGUCGAAAUGGCGGGAGUCAGGAACUCGCUUUUAUUAUAUAUCCCGA